GAGUUUGUCCUGGCUCAGAGCGAACGCUGGCGGCAGGCCUAACACAUGCAAGUCGAGGGGCCGUAGCAAUACGGCACCGGCAGACGGGAGAGUAACACGUGGGAACGUGCCCAUCAGUUCGGAACAACCCAGGGAAACUUGGGCUAAUACCGGAUACGCCCUUACGGGGAAAGAUUUAUCGCUGAUGGAGCGGCCCGCGUCUGAUUAGCUAGUUGGUGAGGUAAUGGCUCACCAAGGCGACGAUCAGUAGCUGGUCUGAGAGGAUGAUCAGCCUCACUGGGACUGAGACACGGCCCAGACUCCUACGGGAGGCAGCAGUGGGGAAUAUUGGACAAUGGGCGCAAGCCUGAUCCAGCCAUGCCGCGUGGAUGAUGAAGGCCUUAGGGUUGUAAAGUCCUUUCGGCGGGGAAGAUAAUGACGGUACCCGCAGAAGAAGUCCCGGCUAACUCCGUGCCAGCCGCCGCGGUAAG
Molecule: ribosomal RNA, 470 nt
Filed under: uncultured Alphaproteobacteria bacterium
Lineage: Bacteria; Pseudomonadati; Pseudomonadota; Alphaproteobacteria
Description: bacterial SSU rRNA
Rfam family: Bacterial small subunit ribosomal RNA
Source: RNAcentral